GCGGAUGUGGCGGAACUGGCAGACGCGCAAGAUUCAGGUUCUUGUGGGGUAACACCCGUGCAGGUUCGAUUCCUGUCAUCCGCA
Molecule: transfer RNA, 84 nt
Filed under: Phycisphaerae bacterium
Lineage: Bacteria; Pseudomonadati; Planctomycetota; Phycisphaerae
Description: tRNA-Leu
Rfam family: tRNA
About the family: Transfer RNA (tRNA) molecules are approximately 80 nucleotides in length.
Source: RNAcentral